GAUGAACGCUGGCGGCGUGCUUAACACAUGCCAGUCGAACGGAAAGGCCCAAGCUUGCUUGGGUACUCGAGUGGCGAACGGGUGAGUAACACGUGGGUGAUCUGCCCUGCACUUCGGGAUAAGCCUGGGAAACUGGGGCUAAUACCGGAUAGGACGAUGGGUUGGAUGCCAUUGUGGAAAGUUUUUUCGGUGUGGGAUGAGCUCGCGGCCUAUCAGCUUGUUGGUGGGGUAAUGGCGUACCAAGGCGUCGACGGGUAGCCGGCCUGAGAGGGGGUACGGCCACAUUGGGACUGAGAGACGGGCCAGAGUCCUACGGGGGGCAGCAGUGGGGAAUAUUGCACAAUGGGCGCAAGCCUGAUGCAGCGACGCCGCGUGGGGGAUGACGGCCUUCGGGUUGUAAACUCCUAUCGCUAGGGACGAAGCGUUUUUGUGACGGUACCUGGAGAAGAAGCACCGGCUAACUACGUG
RNAcentral lists this ribosomal RNA (468 nucleotides) under uncultured bacterium. Its description in RNAcentral is "partial 16S ribosomal RNA". It matches the Rfam family "Bacterial small subunit ribosomal RNA", at positions 28 to 507 of the family's 1533-position model. The record is from RNAcentral.